GGUCGUGCAAGUUAUGCGACUGUAUCUAAAAUACAUUGUUUGUUUCACCAAUACGGCUCACACAACAACAGAGCAGUUCUUUGGUUUCAAUUGUGAAACUGACUACUUUCCGGGUGUGUGUCAUAACGCCAGGUAUUAUACCCAUCCGCAGUCUCAGCUCGCGGUCUGACACCAAGCACUAUACAAUCAGCUAUAAAUGUGCCAUGUAUUCAAGCACUAUACAUUUCCAGUACAUACAGCAUGAUGUUGUUAUCGUCUCGGGUGAUGCUUUGUGCGUUAAUGGCUCAGUGGGGAGGAUGCUGUAUUCAACUCGACAUCCAUCCGAAAACAAUUCAUCUUGAUUCAUCACGCCACGUGACCAUACGGUGUAGCCUCGAUCUGACACGCUCGAGAACGCAGAAGGUCUACUCUAUCAUGCUUAAAAAAGGAGGAUCUACCGUAGCUGUCUUAUUCCAAGAUAGAAUACACCAUAAUAUGACGAAUCGACACUAUGACGUCACCGGGUCCGUGACAACAAACUCUUCGUCAGUUGCUUUCUUCCAAAUAGUGCUGGAUAAUGUCACGUGUCUUGACAGGGGAGAUUACUCUUGCAUCAUGGCAGUAAAACGUUUGGGUAAAGCUACGAGUAUGGAACCGGUUACAUCUCGUCUGGAAAUCCAAGGUAAACCCAGUGAUAUUUCCGUCAGCCUUACACCGGACACAUCGACCUACACCGAAGGGGAAGUGGUGAGCAUCACCUGCUACAGGCACUGGUCCUCAAAGACAGCGUAUUGGUCGUGGACACUGCCAGACGGACACGAGUACACAGUAUUAACCAAUUGCACAUACAAUGUAUCUGAAUGUAUAUACCUGUGUAUCAGUUGGACACAAUACACUGUAACCAUGCACGACCCUGGAUCCCAGGUCAGAUGUGUGAGUCUGGGGGACUCGUGAAGAUCAUACGAUUAAACCUGUCAACCACUUCUGAAGGGAAUGGCCCGUCAGUGACUACAGCAAGUACUGUCCCGCCGACACACACGACUGCCUCCUCAAGGGACACACCACUCCGCCAGAAAGAGACGGAAGAAGGGUGCUGACAACAUAUGUUCUUGUGUCAGCGUUUGCUGUUGUUCUGAUAGUCACACUGAUCUGUCUCUU
RNA transcript from Haliotis rubra (blacklip abalone), 1137 nucleotides. RefSeq lists it as uncharacterized. NCBI's taxonomy places the organism in Eukaryota, Metazoa, Mollusca, Gastropoda, Lepetellida, Haliotidae. The transcript has 5 exons. The record is from RefSeq and is a predicted model, not a curated record.